CUGGGUGCGGAAACCGGAGAGGGAAACACCCGGCUCCAUUUCGAACCCGGCCGUUAAGCCACUCCGGGCCGAUGGUAGUACGGGUCAAGCCCGUGCGAGAGUAGGUAGCGCCCAGA
This 116-nucleotide ribosomal RNA is filed under the name Kosmotoga sp. Lineage: Bacteria; Thermotogati; Thermotogota; Thermotogae; Kosmotogales; Kosmotogaceae. The record is from RNAcentral.